CCUACGGGGUGCAGCAGUGAGGAAUAUUGGUCAAUGGCCGAGAGGCUGAACCAGCCAAGUCGCGUGAGGGAAGACGGCCCUACGGGUUGUAAACCUCUUUUGUCGGGGAGCAAAGCGAGUCACGUGUGACUCAUUGAGAGUACCCGAAGAAAAAGCAUCGGCUAACUCCGUGCCAGCAGCCGCGGUAAUACGGAGGAUGCGAGCGUUAUCCGGAUUUAUUGGGUUAAAAGGGUGCGCAGGCGGAGGUGCAAGUCAGCGGUCAAAUUGCGGGGCUCAACCCCGUACUGCCGUUGAAACUGCAGCCCUUGAGUGCGCGAGAAGUAUGCGGAAUGCGUGGUGUAGCGGUGAAAUGCAUAGAUAUCACGCAGAACUCCGAUUGCGAAGGCAGCAUACCGGAGCGCAACUGACGCUCAUGCACGAAAGCGUGGGUAUCGAACAGGAUUAGAUACCCGAGUAGUC
This 459-nucleotide ribosomal RNA is filed under the name uncultured bacterium. Its description in RNAcentral is "partial 16S ribosomal RNA". It matches the Rfam family "Bacterial small subunit ribosomal RNA", at positions 338 to 795 of the family's 1533-position model. The record is from RNAcentral.